Molecule: ribosomal RNA, 334 nt
Filed under: uncultured bacterium
Lineage: Bacteria
Description: bacterial SSU rRNA
Rfam family: Bacterial small subunit ribosomal RNA
Source: RNAcentral
CUAGCGACUUCAGAGUUUGAUCCUGGCUCAGGAUGAACGCUGGCGGCGUGCCUAAUACAUGCAAGUCGAGCGAGGCACCUUCGGGUGCCUAGCGGCGAACGGGUGAGUAACACGUAGGUAAUCUACCUUAUAGACUGGGAUACCCAAGGGAAACUUUGGCUAAUACCGGAUAUGAUAGGGGGAGGCAUCUUCCCAUAUUAAAAGGAGCUACGGCUUCACUAUAAGAUGAACCUGCGGCGCAUUAGCUAGUUGGUGAGAUAACAGCCCACCAAGGCGAAGAUGCGUAGCCGACCUGAGAGGGUGAUCGGCCACAUUGGGACUGAGAACGGCCCAG